RNAcentral lists this long non-coding RNA (208 nucleotides) under Pan troglodytes (chimpanzee). Its description in RNAcentral is "long non-coding RNA NONPTRT002561". Lineage: Eukaryota; Metazoa; Chordata; Mammalia; Primates; Hominidae. The record is from RNAcentral.
UGGCCUGUCCCUGCCCUCCAGCCAGAGACCAUCAGGAACACACCGGUGCUUAAACAAGAACCAUGUGGAAGGGAUAUAAAUAUCCCCCAGGAGGGACUCCAGUGGAAGUAAGCAAGGAUGAUCCUGGUGAAGUAAUGCAGCUGUGAAGCUCACCUGACCAGCUGUACAGUUCCUGUUGUUGGUUUCGCAUAAAGUAAUUGCACAUCAU